RNAcentral lists this ribosomal RNA (385 nucleotides) under uncultured bacterium. RNAcentral's name for it is "bacterial SSU rRNA". It matches the Rfam family "Bacterial small subunit ribosomal RNA", at positions 370 to 772 of the family's 1533-position model. The record is from RNAcentral.
AAUGGGCGCAAGCCUGAUCCAGCCAUGCCGCGUGAGUGAUGAAGGCCUUAGGGUUGUAAAGCUCUUUCGGCGGGGACGAUAAUGACGGUACCCGCAGAAGAAGCCCCGGCAAACUUCGUGCCAGCAGCCGCGGUAAUACGAAGGGGGCUAGCGUUGUUCGGAAUCACUGGGCGUAAAGCGUAUGUAGGCGGAUCGUUAAGUCGGGGGUGAAAGCCCGAGGCUCAACCUCGGAACUGCCUUCGAUACUGGCGAUCUUGAGUCCGGGAGAGGUGAGUGGAACUGCGAGUGUAGAGGUGAAAUUCGUAGAUAUUCGCAAGAACACCAGUGGCGAAGGCGGCUCACUGGCCCGGUACUGACGCUGAGAUACGAAAGCGUGGGGAGCAAA